RNAcentral lists this ribosomal RNA (415 nucleotides) under uncultured bacterium. RNAcentral describes it as "bacterial SSU rRNA". It matches the Rfam family "Bacterial small subunit ribosomal RNA", at positions 355 to 787 of the family's 1533-position model. The record is from RNAcentral.
UGGGGAAUAUUGCACAAUGGGGGAAACCCUGAUGCAGCAACGCCGCGUGAGUGAAGAAGUAUUUCGGUAUGUAAAGCUCUAUCAGCAGGGAAGAUAAUGACGGUACCUGACUAAGAAGCUCCGGCUAAAUACGUGCCAGCAGCCGCGGUAAUACGUAUGGAGCAAGCGUUAUCCGGAUUUACUGGGUGUAAAGGGUGCGUAGGCGGCACAGCAAGUCAGAUGUGAAAGACCGGGGCUCAACCCCGGGGCUGCAUUUGAAACUGCCGAGCUUGAGUCCGGGAGAGGCAGGCGGAAUUCCUAGUGUAGCGGUGAAAUGCGUAGAUAUUAGGAGGAACACCAGUGGCGAAGGCGGCCUGCUGGACCGGAACUGACGCUGAGGCACGAAAGCGUGGGGAGCAAACAGGAUUAGAUACCC